RNAcentral lists this ribosomal RNA (771 nucleotides) under uncultured bacterium. RNAcentral describes it as "bacterial SSU rRNA". It matches the Rfam family "Bacterial small subunit ribosomal RNA", at positions 8 to 796 of the family's 1533-position model. The record is from RNAcentral.
AGAGUUUGAUCAUGGCUCAGGACGAACGCGGGCGGCGUGCUUAACACAUGCAAGUCGAACGGAAAGGCCCUUCGGGGUACUCGAGUGGCGAACGGGUGAGUAACACGUGGGUGAUCUGCCCUGCACUUUGGGAUAAGCCUGGGAAACUGGGUCUAAUACCGAAUAGGACCACACGCUUCAUGGUGUGUGGUGGAAAGCUUUUGCGGUGUGGGAUGGGCCCGCGGCCUAUCAGCUUGUUGGUGGGGUAAUGGCCUACCAAGGCGACGACGGGUAGCCGGCCUGAGAGGGUGACCGGCCACACUGGGACUGAGAUACGGCCCAGACUCCUACGGGAGGCAGCAGUGGGGAAUAUUGCACAAUGGGCGCAAGCCUGAUGCAGCGACGCCGCGUGAGGGAUGACGGCCUUCGGGUUGUAAACCUCUUUCAAUAGGGACGAAGCGCAAGUGACGGUACCUAUAGAAGAAGCACCGGCCAACUACGUGCCAGCAGCCGCGGUAAUACGUAGGGUGCGAGCGUUGUCCGGAAUUACUGGGCGUAAAGAGCUCGUAGGUGGUUUGUCGCGUUGUUCGUGAAAACUCACAGCUUAACUGUGGGCGUGCGGGCGAUACGGGCAGACUAGAGUACUGCAGGGGAGACUGGAAUUCCUGGUGUAGCGGUGGAAUGCGCAGAUAUCAGGAGGAACACCGGUGGCGAAGGCGGGUCUCUGGGCAGUAACUGACGCUGAGGAGCGAAAGCGUGGGGAGCGAACAGGAUUAGAUACCCCGGUAGUCC